RNAcentral lists this ribosomal RNA (292 nucleotides) under Pseudomonas aeruginosa. RNAcentral's name for it is "partial 23S ribosomal RNA". It matches the Rfam family "Bacterial large subunit ribosomal RNA", at positions 1021 to 1314 of the family's 2925-position model. Lineage: Bacteria; Pseudomonadati; Pseudomonadota; Gammaproteobacteria; Pseudomonadales; Pseudomonadaceae. The record is from RNAcentral.
AACAACCCAGACCGCCAGCUAAGGUCCCAAAGUUGUGGUUAAGUGGUAAACGAUGUGGGAAGGCUUAGACAGCUAGGAGGUUGGCUUAGAAGCAGCCACCCUUUAAAGAAAGCGUAAUAGCUCACUAGUCGAGUCGGCCUGCGCGGAAGAUGUAACGGGGCUCAAACCACACACCGAAGCUGCGGGUGUCACGCAAGUGACGCGGUAGAGGAGCGUUCUGUAAGCCUGUGAAGGUGAGUUGAGAAGCUUGCUGGAGGUAUCAGAAGUGCGAAUGCUGACAUGAGUAACGACA